RNAcentral lists this ribosomal RNA (735 nucleotides) under Salmonella enterica. Its description in RNAcentral is "partial 23S ribosomal RNA". It matches the Rfam family "Bacterial large subunit ribosomal RNA", at positions 1 to 668 of the family's 2925-position model. The record is from RNAcentral. Lineage: Bacteria; Pseudomonadati; Pseudomonadota; Gammaproteobacteria; Enterobacterales; Enterobacteriaceae.
GGGUUGUGAGGUUAAGCGACUAAGCGUACACGGUGGAUGCCCUGGCAGUCAGAGGCGAUGAAGGGCGUGCUAAUCUGCGAUAAGCGCCGGUAAGGUGAUAUGAACCGUUAUAACCGGCGAUACCCGAAUGGGGAAACCCAGUGUGAUUCGUCACACUAUCAUUAACUGAAUCCAUAGGUUAAUGAGGCGAACCGGGGGAACUGAAACAUCUAAGUACCCCGAGGAAAAGAAAUCAACCGAGAUUCCCCCAGUAGCGGCGAGCGAACGGGGAGGAGCCCAGAGCCUGAAUCAGCAUGUGUGUUAGUGGAAGCGUCUGGAAAGGCGUGCGAUACAGGGUGACAGCCCCGUACACAAAAGCGCAUGUGCUGUGAGCUCGAUGAGUAGGGCGGGACACGUGGUAUCCUGUCUGAAUAUGGGGGGACCAUCCUCCAAGGCUAAAUACUCCUGACUGACCGAUAGUGAACCAGUACCGUGAGGGAAAGGCGAAAAGAACCCCGGCGAGGGGAGUGAAAAAGAACCUGAAACCGUGUACGUACAAGCAGUGGGAGCCCCACCACUAAGCCAGUGGUGAACUCCACAUACGCAUCCUUUGCUGAGGAUACGGUUAACGGAGCACAAGCGACGUUCAACCUCAAAAGAAGCAGAGGGGGCUUAGUGGUGGGGUGACUGCGUACCUUUUGUAUAAUGGGUCAGCGACUUAUAUUCUGUAGCAAGGUUAACCGUAUAGGGGAGCCG